This 1132-nucleotide long non-coding RNA is filed under the name Callithrix jacchus (white-tufted-ear marmoset). RNAcentral's name for it is "lncRNA (ENSCJAG00000086075.1)". Lineage: Eukaryota; Metazoa; Chordata; Mammalia; Primates; Cebidae. The record is from RNAcentral.
CCCAAAGUGCUGGGAUUAUAGGCAUGAGCCAUCGUGCCCAGCCACUUUUUUUUACAUUUAAAAUUUUCUGUAUCCCUACUACCACCCAACUGUACUUAACUGUACACAACACCGUAUAGAGCAGUGUGCAGUGUUCGUGCCAAAGGCUUGAGACAGCUAGCGUGACUCGCCCUAUUUUGGCUGCUGGACCUAUCUGCUCUCCCCCUGCUCUCGAGGGCUGUUGAGUUGAGGCAAGUGUCGCAGGCUGAGCCACUGAGGCAAAAACAAGAUCCAGAGCAAAGGCCUGUGGUUUACGAGGGCAUUGUGCUGACUGCUUUCAUAUCCCCUUUAAUCUCUGUGUAAGCAACAGACUUGCUGCAAUUGAGAUGCCUGAGAGGGGCAAGGACCCCUGCCCAUAUUUUCUCAGGAGCUGAGCCUUUGCUCUACCUCCUGAUGGAAAACAUAAUUAACAAGCCACCAUGAGGACACCAUUGUUUGAUUGCACUGUGUACUCUUAAAAAACAUAUAUUAACCUUUAAACUGCUUUGUAAGCUAUCACCUCAAGCCCCUUUAAACUGCUUUGUGAGCUGUUAUCACAAGCCCGAUAACUAUUUUUACGUGGUUUCUGUUCCCUUUUAUGUUUACCCCCUUUUUCUGCUGAGCUAAAGUAAAUGCUGAGCUAAGGUAAAUGUAACAAGAAAAAAGGUAUAAAAGCUGUAACCCAUAAAAAUAAAGCUGCUGCUUGACUACAAGUCACACAGACCUCCAGACUCCGCUUUUCUUUCUUCUUUCACUUCCACGCACUCUCUCCCUCAGGUUGAAUGAGACAUCUACAUUGGCGGUCUCGGGGACUCCUGCAGGUCGGCAGUCCCCACUGGCAGACGUGCCGGCCCCAACAGCAGUGUAUGAACCUUGGCUUAGAUUAUCUCUUAAGCUAAUUUCUGCUAAGUCCAAAGAACACAGAUGGGACCUGCAAAGGCAUUCAAAGCCAGAGCACCUGAACUGCUUAAAUCUGGACUAGAAUAGGAGGAAUGUUAGAAAUCAAGGAAGGGCGUCACAGAUGGAGCUGGAGUAUCUGUGCUUGGCCUUUAUAGAUCGUCUGUCUCAUGGCAGAUGGGAGGAGCCAGCUAAUUCAAGGUACAUCAUCUAGACA